Non-coding RNA from Vicia faba (fava bean), 273 nucleotides. Lineage: Eukaryota; Viridiplantae; Streptophyta; Magnoliopsida; Fabales; Fabaceae. The record is from the annotation of a GenBank genome assembly.
AUGCAACGGCGCGAUCAACAACCCCACCUCCGUCCCUCAACUGCUCCGACCAUCUUCGUCUAUACUCCGCUCAUCAUCUUCCCUCCUGAUUCUUCUUUUUUGCAUCUUCAUCUGCGAUUCGGUUUCGCUUCCCUUGACUCCUCACAUUUUCAGCUGCAAAAAACUUCUGAUCAUCACAGUUCAUGCUCUUCACAUCGUGUUCCCUUUCGAUGGUGUCCGCUUGUUUCAAAGCCAUCGCGAUUUCGCACUUCAAAUCACACAGAGAAUACAUAA